Molecule: transfer RNA, 97 nt
Filed under: Streptomyces albiflavescens
Lineage: Bacteria; Bacillati; Actinomycetota; Actinomycetes; Kitasatosporales; Streptomycetaceae
Description: tRNA-Ala
Source: RNAcentral
GCGCCGGGUAGUACGCGUUGGACAGCAGGAUCCGCUUGCAGCCGAUCCGGUAGUCGGGAGUCAGCUUCCUGCGAAGCUCCGGAUCCUUGACGGCGCG